CAGAAUCAACGCUGGCGGCGCGCUUAACACAUGCAAGUCGCACGAGAAAGUGGAGCAAUCCAUGAGUACAGUGGCGUACGGGUGAGUAACACGUGGAUAAUCUGCCCUUUAGUGGGGAAUAACCCUGGGAAACCGGGGCUAAUACCGCAUAAGCCUGAGAAGGGAAAGCAGCAAUGCGCUGAAGGAGGAGUCCGCGGCCGAUUAGCUAGUUGGUAGGGUAACGGCCUACCAAGGCAAUGAUCGGUAGCCGGCCUGAGAGGGCACACGGCCACACUGGCACUGAAACACGGGCCAGACUCCUACGGGAGGCAGCAGUGGGGAAUCUUGCACAAUGGAGGAAACUCUGAUGCAGCGACGCCGCGUGAGCGAUGAAGCCCUUCGGGGUGUAAAGCUCUUUCGACAGGAACGAUAAUGACGGUACCUGGAGAAGAAGCUGCGGCUAACUACGUGCCAGCAGCCGCGGUAAUACGUAGGCAGCAAGCGUUGUUCGGAAUUACUGGGCGUAAAGAGUGUGUAGGCGGUUCUCUAAGUUCGGUGUGAAAUCUCCCGGCUUAACUGGGAGGGUGCACCGGAAACUGGAGGGCUUGAGUAUGGGAGAGGAAGGCGGAAUUCCUGGUGUAGCGGCGAAAUGCGUAGAUAUCAGGAGGAACACCUGCGGUGUAGACAGCUUUCUGGACCAUCACUGACGCUGAGACACG
Molecule: ribosomal RNA, 698 nt
Filed under: uncultured bacterium
Lineage: Bacteria
Description: bacterial SSU rRNA
Rfam family: Bacterial small subunit ribosomal RNA
Source: RNAcentral